GGACUUCUUAGAGGGACUAUCGGUGUGUAGCCGAUGGAAGUUCGAGGCAAUAACAGGUCUGUGAUGCCCUUAGAUGUUCUGGGCCGCACGCGCGCUACACUGACGCAUUCAACGAGCAUACAACCUUCGCCGAAAGGUGUGGGUAAUCUUGUUAAAGUGCGUCGUGCUGGGGAUAGAUUAUUGUAAUUAUUAAUCUUCAACGAGGAAUUCCUAGUAAACGCAAGUCAUCAGCUUGCAUUGAUUACGUCCCUGCCCUUUGUACACACCGCCCGUCGCUACUACCGAUUGAAUGAC
This 294-nucleotide ribosomal RNA is filed under the name Microvirga sp. 3-52. RNAcentral's name for it is "partial 16S ribosomal RNA". It matches the Rfam family "Eukaryotic small subunit ribosomal RNA", at positions 1404 to 1697 of the family's 1831-position model. The record is from RNAcentral. Lineage: Bacteria; Pseudomonadati; Pseudomonadota; Alphaproteobacteria; Hyphomicrobiales; Methylobacteriaceae.